Molecule: ribosomal RNA, 311 nt
Filed under: uncultured bacterium
Lineage: Bacteria
Description: bacterial SSU rRNA
Rfam family: Bacterial small subunit ribosomal RNA
Source: RNAcentral
GACGAACGCUGGCGGCGUGCUUAACACAUGCAAGUCGAGCGGUAAGGCCCUUUCGGGGGUACACGAGCGGCGAACGGGUGAGUAACACGUGGGUGACCUGCCCUCAGCUCUGGGAUAAGCCUGGGAAACCGGGUCUAAUACUGGAUAUGACUCCAUGACGCAUGUUGUGGGGUGGAAAGCCUUGUGCGGCUGAGGAUGGGCCCGCGCCUAUCAGCUUGUGGUGGGGUGANGGCCUACCAAGGCGACGACGGGUAGCCGGCCUGAGAGGGCGACCGGCCACACUGGGACCGAGACACGGCCCAGACUCCUAC